RNAcentral lists this ribosomal RNA (253 nucleotides) under uncultured bacterium. RNAcentral's name for it is "partial 16S ribosomal RNA". It matches the Rfam family "Bacterial small subunit ribosomal RNA", at positions 524 to 776 of the family's 1533-position model. The record is from RNAcentral.
UACGUAGGGUGCAAGCGUUGUCCGGAAUUAUUGGGCGUAAAGAGCUCGUAGGCGGUUUGUCGCGUCGAAUGUGAAAUCCCGGGGCUCAACCCCGGGCCUGCAUUCGAUACGGGCAGACUAGAGUUCGGUAGGGGAGUCUGGAAUUCCUGGUGUAGCGGUGAAAUGCGCAGAUAUCAGGAGGAACACCGGUGGCGAAGGCGGGACUCUGGGCCGAUACUGACGCUGAGGCACGAAAGCGUGGGGAGCAAACAGG